UUAAUUGAAGCCAAAAUUAGAGGCAUAUUAUUGUUAAUAAUAUCAAUGAAAAUUAUUUAUCCAAUUAAA
Molecule: transfer RNA, 69 nt
Filed under: Asiemphytus rufocephalus
Lineage: Eukaryota; Metazoa; Arthropoda; Insecta; Hymenoptera; Tenthredinidae
Description: tRNA-Asn
Source: RNAcentral